This 1520-nucleotide long non-coding RNA is filed under the name Marmota monax (woodchuck). Lineage: Eukaryota; Metazoa; Chordata; Mammalia; Rodentia; Sciuridae. The record is from RNAcentral.
UUCUAUGAUAGUGAGAUUAUUUGUAGUUAAUUAAUGAAAAUGAAGUUUUGAAAUAUUUAAUAGUAUUUACUACAAAGAAUGCCAUGAUUUUCCAGUGACUAGUCAAAUUACCACUAGUCAAAUUUUAGAACCUACAUUUAAAAGUUUAGGAGACAUUAAUAUCAAAGACUAUCUGGAUUUCAAUUUAUUAAUUUUUUUUCUUCAGUUUUUCAUAUCCUUUGGCUAUUCAAGUUGAUUCUUUAUGCCACUGGUAUUUGGUGCCUCACUAUUUAGAAUUUUAAAUUGGCAGUUUACCCUCCAUAUCUUUAAUAGGACAACUUAAUAAAGUUCUUAUGAUGUGGAAAUGUUACCCAAAGACCCAAAUGUUAAAUGAAGAAUUGAUGGCAAGCCUGUGGCACUGUUGGGAAAUGAUUGAACCUUUAAGAGGUGGGCCUACUGGAGAAAGUUGUGUUAUUGGGGGCAUGCCCUUCAAGAGAAUAUUGGAACCCUGAUGCCUUCCUGUCUCCCUGAGUGUUUCUUGGCCACUAUGAGGUGAACAAGCUUCCUCUUCCACAUGUUCCCCCAUGAUAUACUGUGCCGUUGUAGAGUCAACAGACCAUGGAUGGAAACCAUUAAAAAAAAAUUUUUUUUUUUUCCUUUAAGUCUUAAGUAUUUUAUCAUGGUAACAGAAAGCUAAAUAAUGCAAAAAUAAACUGAAAUUUUCUGAAAGUCAAAUGUUUUUUUGUGGUGCUAGGGAUCGAACCCAGGGCCUUGUGCAUACAAGGCAAGCAUUCUACCAUCUGAGCUAUAUCUCCAACCCCUAACAGUCAAUUUUACUCUAAAUAGAUCUUUACUUAUUUUUAGCCAUGAAAUAUUAAGAAAGCCAUUAUCUUUUAUUUUUAUUUUUAUUUAUUAAUUUAUUUUAGUUGUCAAUGGCCUUUGUUUUUUAUUUAUUUAUAUGUGGUGCUGAGGAUGAAACUCAGGUCUCACACACGCUAAGCAAGUACUCCACCACUGAGCUACAACCCAGGCCCAUAAAUACACUUUAAUAUUAUUGAUUUUAUUUAUGUUGAUGAUAAUUGAUAGAAAAUAAAAUUAUCAUAACAGGGCAGGUUUCACCUUAGUGUAGAACUUCAUUCUUUAAUCCCAGAUAAAUCUUCUAAAAAUAGGUUUUAUAUCUUUUCUCUAGCCUGAACAUACCCACCAGUUCCUUCCACUGGUUCUCAUAAGCGUCAAUUUUAGAUUAUAUGUAUCCUGUAUAUUCCACUUAAAUUGGCUGCAUUUUGUGUUAUUCCUUUUAAAAUAUUGUUUAUAAAACCAGGUCCAGUAUAUUCAGUUUGGCCAAAGUACAAAGUAUGGUGCAUCUCUUUUGAAUCAGGUGCUUUGGUAACACAGCCUGAUUGCACUGGUUUUUCUUUAUCAUUAACUUUGUUGCUUCAUGUUGAACUGCUGCAGUCCACUAAAACACUUAAGUUUGUCAGAAAUUUCAAAUCAUACUAUAAAAUCUAGAUUUGGCAGACAUUUAAUAAACACAUAUAUUC